This 548-nucleotide ribosomal RNA is filed under the name uncultured bacterium. RNAcentral's name for it is "bacterial SSU rRNA". It matches the Rfam family "Bacterial small subunit ribosomal RNA", at positions 229 to 777 of the family's 1533-position model. The record is from RNAcentral.
GCUUGCGGCCUAUUAGCUUGUUGGUGGGGUAACGGCCCACCAAGGCUAUGAUGGGUAGUCGGCCUGAGAGGGUGUACGACCACACUGGGACUGCGACACGGCCCAGACUCCUACGGGAGGCAGCAGUGGGGAAUUUUGCGCAAUGGGCGAAAGCCUGACGCAGCGACGCCGCGUGGAGGAAUAAGGCCUUCGGGUUGUAAACUCCUGUCAGAGGUGAAGAAUGCCCGCAAGGGUUUGACGGUAACCUCAGAGGAAGCCCCGGCUAACUACGUGCCAGCAGCCGCGGUAAUACGUAGGGGGCGAACGUUGCUCGGAAUUACUGGGCGUAAAGGGUGCGUAGGUGGCUGANCAAGUCGUUGAUGAAAUCCCGGGGGCUUUAACCCCGGAACUGUUUUNCGAAACUGCUCAGCUUGAGGAUGGUUGAGGAGAACGGAAUUUCCCCGGUGGAGCGGUGAAAUUGCGUANAUAUCGGGAAGGANANCUGAGGCGAAGGCGGUUCUCUGGNCCNUUCUUAACCUUGAGGCNCGAAACCUUGGGAACAAACGGGA